GGCGGCGUGGAUUAGGCAUGCAAGUCGAGCGUGCGGAUCUAUGAGUAAGGCCGACCGCAAGGAAGGUUUUACAAGUGGAUUUGUAUAGCGGCAAACGGGUGAGUAACACGUGAGUAAUCUACCCCUAGGACUGGAAUAGCCCAGAGAAAUCUGGGGUAAUGACAGAUGUGACUACGAUCUCUCAUGAGGACGUAGUAAAAGACGGGGACCGCAAGGCCCGUCACCAAGGGAGGAGCUCGCGGCCUAUCAGCUUGUUGGUGAGGUAAAAGCUCACCAAGGCGAAGACGGGUAGCUAGUCUGAGAGGAUGUUUAGCCACACUGGGACUGAGACACUGCCCAGACUCCUACGGGAGGCUGCAGUCGAGAAUCUUUAGCAAUGGGGGAAACCCUGACUAUGCGACGCCGCGUGAGGGAUGAAGGUCUUCGGAUUGUAAACCUCUUUCGACCGGAAAGAAUAUCCUGACGGGUAAUAUCCGUCAGGACUGACGGUACCGGGAGAAGAAGCCACGGCCAACUCCGUGCCAGCAGCCGCGGUAAUACGGAGGUGGCAAGCGUUACUCGGAUUUAUUGGGUGUAAAGGGCAGGUAGGCGGC
Molecule: ribosomal RNA, 593 nt
Filed under: uncultured bacterium
Lineage: Bacteria
Description: bacterial SSU rRNA
Rfam family: Bacterial small subunit ribosomal RNA
Source: RNAcentral